AUUGAACGCUGGCGGCAGGCCUAACACAUGCAAGUCGAGCGAGCGGCGGACGGGUGAGUAAUGUCUGGGAAACUGCCUGAUGGAGGGGGAUAACUACUGGAAACGGUAGCUAAUACCGCAUACCAUCAGAUGUGCCCAGAUGGGAUUAGCUAUUAGGUGGGGUAACGGCUCACCUAGGCAACGAUCCCUGGCUGGUCUAAGAGGAUGACCACCCAAACGGGAACGGAGACAGGGUCCGGACUCCUACGGGGGGAAGCGGGGGGGAAUAUUGCACAAGGGGCGCAAGCCUGAGGCAGCCAGGCGGGGGGUGUGAAGAAGGCUUUGGGGUUGUAAAGCACUUUCAGCGGGGAGGCGUUACCCGCAGAAGAAGCACCGGCUAACUCCGUGCCAGCAGCCGCGGUAAUU
RNAcentral lists this ribosomal RNA (405 nucleotides) under uncultured bacterium. RNAcentral's name for it is "partial 16S ribosomal RNA". It matches the Rfam family "Bacterial small subunit ribosomal RNA", at positions 29 to 525 of the family's 1533-position model. The record is from RNAcentral.